CACUCCACCACCUUUAAAGGACGUUUAUCACAGCAAAGCAAGGCCGCUGCACGCCGACGUGAUGUAUCGCCCCGGCUCGGCGCGAAUGAAUAGACUAGUAAUUAUCCCGUUAAAAGGGUAGCCAGACAAAGAGGGAGCCUCGCUGUAAUUUAAAUUGUUUUGUUUCCCCCCCGAGCAGUCCAAGCCUGAACGCUGACUGACAUCACGCAAUGGGGUGGGGGUGGGGGGGGGGGGCGGAGUGAACCUAUUUAUAGCCCGAGACAUUCAGCUAAUUGUAGAAUUUAAUAAGGUUUCUGGAAGAGUGGAUUUUCGAGGAGCCAGAGGCGUGCACGUCCUCUUCCUUGCCCUCAACAUCUUUUUCUUCAGCCCUGUAGUGGCGCAUGUCCCCGUAUUCCUUCCUCCACGCUUGACUUCCUCCUAUCUUCCAUCUCAUCACCCCACCUCCCCACCUCCCUUUUUUUUACUCCUUCCCCCUAUCACAUAAAAUCUACCUGGCACUAAUACUGCUCUCACUUUGCUAGCGUGACUCUGAUUGUGUGAUCCUCUGCAUGUCACAGCAGCUUAAGGUGUGUGUGUGUGUGUGUGUGUGUGAUUACCAAAAAAGGAUGCGUCCAAGUGUGUGUGCGCGCCCGCGGUCUCGUCUGCUGUGAGACGGGGGGUAAUUGAGCUCAGAGGGUUUUCUGUCUUGGGUGGCAGAGGGGAAAUUGGAAUCUUCAGAAUCCAUUAGCGAGGCCCUCCGACGGCCGCUCGGCGUGUUUGUGCGCGCUCGUUUGUUUGGUGACAAGAGGACGAGAGAGUAGGCGGAACGUGUGUCCAAACCCCGGCGGAGUCGGGCGAGGAGUGUAAAAAUAACGCGUCAAGUCACAAAUCAACUGCAAACUUUCUUGCUUGCUUUUGCAGCGCACGCGGCGAGAGACGUCCCCCCCCGGCGUGUUGGAAGAGAAGGAAGAUGAGCGAACAGCAGGUGAUGCGGCACUUGAAUGGUUAAGUCAGCUGCAUGCUGGAUCUCUGCAGAGGUGACAGAUGCUUCCUAUCCCACCCAGCACCACAGGGGAACAGGAUUCACUCAGCAUACCAAUGAGUAUACCCCCCCCCCACACACACACACACACUCCCACCUCCAGUGUGACACACAAACGCAUAAAUAUGCAUAUGCGGCUACACGCACAUAUACAUCCCAAUGCAUCCAAACACCUCACGCUUUAAUGCCUGCGCCAUGUACCUGCUGGGCAACAUAAAAGACGCCAUAUUUACGAGAAGGGUGUUGGUGCACAUUAUUGCAACGGCUUCCCGCUCCGGACAACGAGCAGAUGUGCACGGGCUCCCCUUCCAGCCAGAGUCAGGCAAGAUGUGAGCCUUUUUGUCUGCACAUAUGACCUGCAGAAGAAGGCCACUGCACAUGUACUGGCACACAUAUAAAUACACACAUACACAGCGAGUGCACACACAAGGCAACGGGCGCUCUAAAAGUGACAGCUGUCGCUAUGAUGGAGCACAGGGAGAAGGGGAAGUGAAGGCUAAGCCACGGCGCAACAUGGUGUCGAGGAGACCCGCUAUUCAUUUUCAGCUUAAUAUGUUCCAGCCCAUUGGAAAAACAUUGCGGCAUUUAAUGUGAGCAAUUUCAUAUGCGCGCACGCCACAACCCUCGCACUUCUCUCUGAAGGGCCCUGGAAAAAAUAAAAAAUGAAGAGACCGGAUUUACCCAACGGUUGAAUGACUUCAAAAAUAACACACGGCCAAGGGUGCGUAUGCGUGCGCGCAUCGACAUGCAUGUGUGUGUAUAUGUAUAUAUGUGUGUGUGUAUAUCGGUGUGAGCUUGUCGAAUGUUAAUUAUUGAGUUCCAUCUGUGUUUCCGUUCCGCCUCUCUGCACAUGUAAUCUCCAUCGUGGCAUCACUCCGCCGGGCCGAGAUGAUCACACUGUGAUGCCGUGUCAUGGAUGCAUAUGCAAAUAUAUGUUAGAGACAAACGGACACAUUUAGUGGAAUUGUUUUGCAGGCUGGCCCUGCUGUUGCAUUCGAAACAAAGCCUGAACGUGCAAUGCACAUCCAAUAUUACGAUUGUGGUCUUUUCCAGUUUUGCUCGUUGAACCAAUUUUGAUGGCCUGUCAAAUAAUAUGAAAUGGAUUCAUUCAACCGCCCCAAUAUUAGGUCCACCCGCACUAUCUAAUGAAACCCAAUCAGAGAGCUUCACCGCAAUUUCUUUGCCGCAAAAGUGUUCAUGUUCAUUUCUUUGAUUGAUACUGUCGAUAAUGUUUACAGUUGUCAUGCUGAGCGGCUCGGGUGGAGUUCUAAUCUUUCAAUAUCUUAUACAGGGCCAUGAAGGCGUAUGCCGUUCUUCACAGAGGAUAAAUAAUCUACGCCUUCAGUAGUCAAGGUUUCUACAUUUUAAGGUAAAUUCCAUUCAAGACAUUUGAACACCAUUUGAAAUAGAAUUUAAAAACAACUUCCCAGUUCCGUUAUCAUGAUUGCGCAGUCCCCGCGAGUCACUAACCAGUUUUGUUUUAAUUAUUUUGUUUGAGAUUGAAGGCUCUUUUGAUUUGAAAAUCAUAAAAUCCAAUUUAUUGUGGGAAUUUUUGGAAAGCUCAAUUUUAGACAUUUUAAUGCCAAUAAAUUACAUUUCCUAACGUUGACAGCAUGUCCCAUCAUUUGUCACCUGGCAGACAAGGCAAAGUUCUGCGUUUUGCUUUUAAUGACAUGUCAUUUCCCUUGUUUUAUGUUUACUUUGACUGCAAGCUCCAACGGGGAGUGGCAAUAAAACACCUUGAAGUCCCUUUCGGAGUCGUUUACAAUCUGCCAAACUGCUGCUUGUUGUGAAGGGAGUCAAGUUGCGUUCAGACGGAACCAC
Hippocampus zosterae (dwarf seahorse) is the source of this 2845-nucleotide long non-coding RNA. RefSeq lists it as uncharacterized. NCBI's taxonomy places the organism in Eukaryota, Metazoa, Chordata, Actinopteri, Syngnathiformes, Syngnathidae. The transcript is spliced from 2 exons. The record is from RefSeq and is a predicted model, not a curated record.